This 433-nucleotide ribosomal RNA is filed under the name uncultured bacterium. RNAcentral's name for it is "partial 16S ribosomal RNA". It matches the Rfam family "Bacterial small subunit ribosomal RNA", at positions 29 to 507 of the family's 1533-position model. The record is from RNAcentral.
AACGAACGCUGGCGGCAUGCCUAACACAUGCAAGUCGAACGAGACCUUCGGGUCUAGUGGCGCACGGGUGCGUAACGCGUGGGAACCUGCCCUUAGGUUCGGAAUAACUCCCCGAAAGGUGUGCUAAUACCGGAUAAUGUCUUCGGACCAAAGAUUUAUCGCCUUUGGAUGGGCCCGCGUUGGAUUAGCUAGUUGGUAGGGUAAAAGCCUACCAAGGCGACGAUCCAUAGCUGGUCUGAGAGGAUGAUCAGCCACACUGGGACCGAGACACGGCCCAGACUCCUACGGGAGGCAGCAGUGGGGAAUAUUGGACAAUGGGCGAAAGCCUGAUCCAGCAAUGCCGCGUGAGUGAUGAAGGCCUUAGGGUUGUAAAGCUCUUUUACCCGGGAUGAUAAUGACAGUACCGGGAGAAUAAGCUCCGGCUAACUCCGUG